RNAcentral lists this ribosomal RNA (253 nucleotides) under uncultured bacterium. RNAcentral describes it as "partial 16S ribosomal RNA". It matches the Rfam family "Bacterial small subunit ribosomal RNA", at positions 524 to 776 of the family's 1533-position model. The record is from RNAcentral.
UACGUAGGCAGCGAGCGUUGUUCGGAGUUACUGGGCGUAAAGGGUGUGUAGGCGGUUGUUUAAGUUUGGUGUGAAAUCUCCCGGCUCAACUGGGAGGGUGCGCCGAAUACUGAAUGACUAGAGUGCGGGAGAGGAAAGUGGAAUUCCUGGUGUAGCGGUGAAAUGCGUAGAUAUUGGGAAGAACACCAGUGGCGUAGGCGACUAGCUGGGCCAUAACUGACGCUGAGGAACGAAAGCCAGGGGAGCGAAUGGG